GGAGUUUGGUCCGUGUCUCAGUACCAAUGUGGGGGACCUUCCUCUCAGAACCCCUACUGAUCGUUGCCCCGGUGGGCCGUUACCCCGCCGGCAAGCUAAUCAGACGCAUCCCCAUCCCUUACCGAUGAAUCUUUGCUCCUCAUUAGAUGCCUGCAAAGGAGAACAUAGAGUAUUAAUCCGACUUUCGCCGGGCUAUCCUCUAGUAAGGGGAAGGUUGGAUACGCGUUACUCACCCGUGCGCCGGUCGCCAGCGGAGAUAGCAAGCUAUCUCCCUGAUGCCCCUCGACUUGCAUGUGUUAAGCCUGUAGCUAGCGUUCAUC
Molecule: ribosomal RNA, 320 nt
Filed under: uncultured Prevotella sp.
Lineage: Bacteria; Pseudomonadati; Bacteroidota; Bacteroidia; Bacteroidales; Prevotellaceae
Description: partial 16S ribosomal RNA
Source: RNAcentral